AGCGAACGCUGGCGGCAGGCUUAACACAUGCAAGUCGAACGCAUCACUUCGGUGGUGAGUGGCAGACGGGUGAGUAACACGUGGGAACGUACCCUUCGAUCUGGGAUAACUUCGGGAAACUGGAGCUAAUACCGGAUACGCCCUUUUGGGGAAAGGUUUACUGUCGAAGGAUCGGCCCGCGUCUGAUUAGCUAGUUGGUGGGGUAACGGCCUACCAAGGCGACGAUCAGUAGCUGGUCUGAGAGGAUGAUCAGCCACACUGGGACUGAGACACGGCCCAGACUCCUACGGGAAGCAGCAGUGGGGAAUAUUGGACAAUGGGCGCAAGCCUGAUCCAGCCAUGACGCGUGAGUGAUGAAGGCCUUAGGGUUGUAAAGCUCUUUUGUCCGGGACGAUAAUGACGGUACCGGAAGAAUAAGCCCCGGCUAACUUCGUG
This 435-nucleotide ribosomal RNA is filed under the name uncultured bacterium. RNAcentral's name for it is "partial 16S ribosomal RNA". It matches the Rfam family "Bacterial small subunit ribosomal RNA", at positions 29 to 507 of the family's 1533-position model. The record is from RNAcentral.